RNA transcript from Pyrus x bretschneideri (Chinese white pear), 2138 nucleotides. It is a transcript of the gene named delta(8)-fatty-acid desaturase 1-like, with no coding region annotated. NCBI's taxonomy places the organism in Eukaryota, Viridiplantae, Streptophyta, Magnoliopsida, Rosales, Rosaceae. The record is from RefSeq and is a predicted model, not a curated record. The transcript has 3 exons.
CGCUCUCUCUCUCUCUCUCUCAUCAGAUAUACUCUCACACACACUAGCUCUGUAAAACGCAGCAGCAGAAGGCUCGAAAAUAUCUUGGAGGCGGUUUUGAAAUUUCUUCUGGAAACCCAAGACUUUGGGGGCAAUGGGGGUCUAAACCCGUUCAGCAUUUGGUCUAGUUGAUUGGAAAGUCAGGAGGAUAUUUUGCUGGGAAGAGCGUGUGUUUUGACUAAACCCUUGAAGAAAGGAUUGGACAACAAUGGAGGGUGAGAAGAAGUACAUUACUGUCGAGCAGCUGAAGCUGCACAACAAGCCUUCGGAUUUGUGGAUCUCUAUCCAGGGCAAGGUUUACAAUAUCACUGAUUGGGCCAAAGAUCAUCCGGGUGGGGAUGCCAUUCUCUUCAAUAUGUCCGGCCAGGACGUCACUGAUGGAUUCAUUGCCUACCAUCCUCCAUCCGCAUGGAAGUACCUGGGAAAGUUCUUCACUGGGUACUAUCUGAAAGAUUUCGAGAUCUCGGAGGUCUCCAAGGAUUACAGGAAGCUUGCUUCCGAGUUUAACCAGCUCGGCUUGUUUGAAAACAAAGGGCAUGGGGCUCUUUACUCGGUGAUUAGUAUUCUGGUUAUGCUUUACCUUGUUGUGUAUGGUGUGUUGAAGUCUGAGAGUGUGUUGGUUCAUUUCGGUUGCGGUUGUUUGUUGGGGAUCCUCUGGGUUCAGGGUGCCUAUAUGGGUCAUGACUCCGGGCAUUACCAGGUCAUGUCUAGCCGCAGGUACAACAAAAUCGCUCAAUUUCUGGCCGGGAAUUGCCUUACUGGAAUCAGCAUUGCUUGGUGGAAAUGGACUCACAAUGCCCAUCACAUUGCCUGCAACAGCCUUGAUUAUGAUCCUGAUCUUCAACACAUGCCAGUUUUUGCCGUGUCCUCGAAAUUCUUUCAGUCAAUAACAUCAACCUUUUACGGAAGAGAGCUGACGUUUGAUGCCGUGGCUAGAUUUUUAGUCAGCCACCAGCAUUUUACGUAUUAUCCAAUCAUGAUUGUUGGAAGGGUAAACUUGUUUAUACAGACGUUCUUGUUAUUGUUCUCGAAGAGGAGCAUCCCAGAUAGAGCUUUGAACAUAAUGGGGAUCCUUGUUUUCUGGACUUGGUUUCCUCUCCUUGUUUCGUGUCUGCCUAAUUGGAGCGAGAGGUUUAUGUUCGUGUUGGCGAGCUUUACAGUGACAGCACUUCAGCACAUUCAGUUCACUUUGAACCAUUUUACAGGAGAUACUUAUCUUGGACCACCAACUGGCAACGAUUGGUUCGAGAAGCAGACAGCUGGUACCGUGGAUAUUUUGUGCUCGAGUUGGAUGGACUGGUUCUAUGGUGGCCUGCAGUUUCAGCUUGAGCAUCAUUUGUUCCCACGAUUGCCCCGUUCCCAGCUGAGGAAGAUUUCUCCCACUGUGAAGGAACUAUGCAAGAAGCACAAUUUACCUUACAAGAGUUUGUCCUUCUUGGAUGCCAAUGUGACUACCAUUAGGAUGCUAAGGAAUGCUGCCCAGCAGGCUUGGGACAUGGCCCUUCCCGUCCCGAAGAACUUGGCCUGGGAAGCUGUCAAUACCCAUGGUUGAUGAUUGUUGACGCUCAUCUAAAUACCGCCCCUGCAUUAGGCUUCUCUGUUUAUAAGUUGGGGCAUCCUUUUUAGCAGAUAUCAUGAGAUUUAAACCAGUUCAGUAAGCUUUUAUUUCGGAUUUUCUUGAGUAUUCCCUUUCUUCCACCGGUGCAUAUGCUGAAUCCAGUAAGUUAUCUGUGUUCUACAGGCCUACUCUAAUCGAUAAUCAUCCGCUUUCUUCCUUCUGAUGAAGGACAAACAAUUUGGAGUCUAAGUUGAAUUUCUGAGUUUAUUUCAGGCUUCUUGAUAUGGAUUAUUGGAAACCAUAUCCAUUUGUGGUAUAGUGGCCAAAGAAUUUAGGGUUCCCUUGGAUUGGAUACUUCAUAAGUUCAAAGUAUGUUGAAGGCAGAGGUGAAUGAUUUUUCAUUUAGUAGCGAUUAGAAGGGAUUGGACACGAAGGAAAUGUACCUCCACUAAUCGUAUCAUUUUGUGGGGACCGUAGCAUGUAAUCCAUCUUGUACCUUUCAGUUUGACACAAUUUAUUCAUCAUACUUACUUUGAAUGUA